Molecule: unclassified non-coding RNA, 464 nt
Filed under: Hevea brasiliensis (rubber tree)
Lineage: Eukaryota; Viridiplantae; Streptophyta; Magnoliopsida; Malpighiales; Euphorbiaceae
Source: RNAcentral
GAUUUUAUUUGUUCAAGAGUUUUUAUGGAUACAAUUGAGAACAGGAAGUUGUUCAAUCCAAUCUGGCUUGGUUCCCCAUUAUCAACAUCAAUCAAGGUGGCUGCGCUCCCUUAACAAAGUUCAUAAUUCUUCAACAUUUUAAAGUCCCAAACAAGUUUAGUCCAAGUGGGACAGAUUGAUAUGGAAGAAUUCUAACUCGAUAACGAGUUUUUUUCAAGUGGAGGUGUAUGACAUGGUGCUAGACUUCAAAUUUUGGACAAUGCAACAGCUAAAAUCUAGUUUAGAUCACUAUUAUCAAAGGCGCGCCUCCUAAGAGGCAGGAAUCAAGGGGGCGCAAGUGGUGGCGCCUGAAGGAGAAAGAGGCGCAGGACAUCACCCAGGCGCAGCGAGGCGUGGCUAGGUGCGCGGCGCCCCUAGGCACACCCGAUAGAGUCCAAGCACAUUUAAAAGAAAAAAUAGGGUUU